This is a long non-coding RNA of Daucus carota subsp. sativus, 772 nucleotides long. RefSeq lists it as uncharacterized. Lineage: Eukaryota; Viridiplantae; Streptophyta; Magnoliopsida; Apiales; Apiaceae. The transcript has 4 exons. The record is from RefSeq and is a predicted model, not a curated record.
AAUAACUGUAACGGGAAUCAGUUGAAGAUUUUGGUUUCUCUCUCUUAUCAUUGCUCUCUCUCUAGCUGUUAUCUCUCUCGCGCAUUGCAUUUAGUUCUCUCUAGCAGUUAACUCGUGGAUGAUCUGAUAUUUUCCGUGCUUGAUUGCGGAGGUCAAGCUUUGUGAGGCAGUAAGAGUGGAUGUGCCUCAGUGCUUGCAGACGGAUGAGUUGGACUGAUUAUUGGAUCUUGUCCACAUCGCUUUCAAUCGUCUCUGCUGAACACAAAAGCAAUAUUUGCUCUUCAAAAUUACUUUCUCUCGAAUCCCAACAUAACAAAAGCUUGUGUUGAUAAUUCAGCUCCACUGCUCAGUAUGAUGGAUGCUUGUCAGAAAGCAGCUGGAAGACGAUUUCCAAACUUCAUUGUUGUGGAAUUUUACCAGAGAAGUGAUGGAGAAGGAGCUCUAGAGGCUGUCGACCAAGCAAAUGUUUAACUCACUUGUGGGUGUGCCAGCAUAGCGUACUGCAAGGAGGUAAUGCCGACGAACACGAAGGAUCAAGUAACCUGAUGUGUCCAGACGACCACAUGAACUUCUGUUCAGGACUAGCGCACAAUUUGAUUGCAGAUAAAUAACUAGAUAAGAUGGGUUACCUGAACCAUGAAUGGAUUCAGAAGAUUAGUGGAUUAAUAUUCUUUUGACAUUUACUUGAUCAAUAGUCACUUUGGCCACAAAAUUACUCUGUUAUUGUAGUGUACUUCAUCUGAUAUUACGAGGCAAGUUUUGGUUAUAUUUA